Molecule: ribosomal RNA, 349 nt
Filed under: uncultured bacterium
Lineage: Bacteria
Description: bacterial SSU rRNA
Rfam family: Bacterial small subunit ribosomal RNA
Source: RNAcentral
AGAUAAUAGAUACCCGGGUAGUCCUGGCAGUAAACGGUGCACGUUUGGUGUGGGCGCAAUCGACCGCGUCCGCGCCGUAGCUAAACGCGUUAAGCGUGCCGCCUGGGAAGUACGGUCGCAAGAUUAAAACUCAAAGAAAUUGACGGGGACCCGGCACAAGCGGUGGAGUAUGUGGCUUAAAUUACGUAUGCAACGCGAAGAACCUUACCUGGUCUUGACAUGCAUUGUGUCUCCGGUGAAAGCCGGAUAGGGUAGCAAUACCCGCUUUGCACAGGUGCUGCAUGGCUGUCGUCAGCUCGUGUCGUGAGAUGUUGGGUUAAGUUCCCGCAACGAGCGCAACCCCUCGUGA